This 339-nucleotide RNase P RNA is filed under the name Limnochordaceae bacterium. Its description in RNAcentral is "RNase P RNA component class A". It matches the Rfam family "Bacterial RNase P class A". From Rfam's summary of the family: Ribonuclease P (RNase P) is a ubiquitous endoribonuclease, found in archaea, bacteria and eukarya as well as chloroplasts and mitochondria. Its best characterised activity is the generation of mature 5'-ends of tRNAs by cleaving the 5'-leader elements of precursor-tRNAs. Cellular RNase Ps are ribonucleoproteins. Lineage: Bacteria; Bacillati; Bacillota; Limnochordia; Limnochordales; Limnochordaceae. The record is from RNAcentral.
AAACGAGGCUGAGUGGCCGCGCGAAGGUUUUCGCGAGGAAAGUCGGGACUCCACAGGGCAGGGUGCUGGGUAAUCCCCAGUGGGGGCGACCCCAAGGAAAGUGCCACAGAAAAGAAGACAGCCCGCCUAGCGGCGGGUAAUGGUGAAACGGUGCGGCAAGAGCGCACCAGCGAUCGGGUGACCGGUCGGCUUGGCAAACCCCACCCGGAGCAAGACCAAAUAGGAGGGAGAUCGAGUGGCCCGCUCGUCCCUCGGGUUGGUCGCUGGAGAUGCCAGGUAACUGGCAUCCUAGAUGGAUGGCCACUAAAACGGAAUCCCGCUUACAGGCCUGGUUUUCUU